RNAcentral lists this ribosomal RNA (1986 nucleotides) under metagenome. RNAcentral's name for it is "bacterial LSU rRNA". It matches the Rfam family "Bacterial large subunit ribosomal RNA", at positions 831 to 2841 of the family's 2925-position model. The record is from RNAcentral.
AAUCGAACCCGGAGAUAGCUGGUUCUCCUCGAAAUAGCUUUAGGGCUAGCCUCAUACGAGUCUUGCGGAGGUAGAGCACUGAAUUCUUAAGGGGGCGUCAAAGCUUACUAAGAGAUAUCAAACUCCGAAUGCCGCGUAGAUGAUGUAUGGGAGUCAGACUGCACGAGAUAAGUUGGGUAGUCAAAAGGGAAAGAGCCCAGACCUACAGCUAAGGUCCCAAAAUGUGUGUUAAGUGGAAAAGGAUGUGGGAUUUCGAAGACAACUAGGAUGUUGGCUCAGAAGCAGCCAUCCAUUAAAAGAGUGCGUAAUAGCUCACUAGUCGAGAGGUCCUGCGCCGAAAAUGUCCGGGGCUGAAACACACUACCGAAGCUUAGGAAUUAACGAAUGUUAAUUGGUAGAGGAGCAUUCUUAAAGAGACGAAGCUGUACCGGAAGGAGCAGUGGAUUUUUAAGAAGAGAGAAUGCCGGAAUGAGUAGCGAGAGGAAGGUGAGAAUCCUUCCGGCCGAAUAUCUAAGGUUUCCAGCGUAAAGCUGAUCUGCGCUGGGUAAGUCGGGGCCUAAGGCGAGGUCGAAAGACGUAGUCGAUGGAUAACAGGUUGAAAUUCCUGUACUAUGAUAUAACAGAACUGUGGGGACGCAGGGAGAGAGCGCGAGCCGGGAACGGAAAGCCCGGCGCAAGCGAGGUACCGGUCUGUCAGGAAAAUCCGGCAGACAACGGGAAGACGUGAUGCGGACCGAAAAAGAGUAGGGAAGAGCGUGAGCUAACUGCCAAGAAAAGCCGCUAUUGUUUAUAUCAUACCCGUACCGUAAACCGACACAGGUGGAUGAGGAGAGAAUCCUAAGGCCGACGGGAGAAGCAUUGUUAAGGAACUCGGCAAAAUGACUCCGUAACUUCGGGAGAAGGAGUGCCAUGCGAAUGGCCGCAGAGAAUUGGCCCAAGCAACUGUUUAGCAAAAACACAGGUCUAUGCAAAACCGAAAGGUGAGGUAUAUGGGCUGACGCCUGCCCGGUGCUGGAAGGUUAAGGGGAGAGGUUAGCGCAAGCGAAGCUUUGAACUUAAGCCCCAGUAAACGGCGGCCGUAACUAUAACGGUCCUAAGGUAGCGAAAUUCCUUGUCGGGUAAGUUCCGACCCGCACGAAAGGCGUAAUGAUUUGGGCACUGUCUCAACAAUGCACCCGGUGAAAUUGAAAUACCAGUGAAGAUGCUGGUUACCUGCGCCAGGACGGAAAGACCCCAUGGAGCUUUACUCCAGCUUGAUACUGGGAUUCGAUAUUGCAUGUACAGGAUAGGUGGGAGACUAGGAGACGGUAACGCCAGUUGCCGUGGAGUCGAUGUUGGGAUACCACCCUUGCAGUAUUGGGUUUCUAACCAGCAGCCGUGAUCCGGCUGGGGGACAAUGUCAGGUGGGGAGUUUGACUGGGGCGGUCGCCUCCGAAAGGGUAUCGGAGGCGCUCAAAGGUUCCCUCAGAAUGGUUGGAAACCAUUCGAAGAGUGCAAAGGCAGAAGGGAGCUUGACUGCGACACCGACGGGUGGAGCAGGUACGAAAGUAGGACUUAGUGAUCCGGUGGUAUAAAGUGGGAUUGCCAUCGCUCAACGGAUAAAAGCUACCCUGGGGAUAACAGGCUUAUCACUCCCAAGAGUUCACAUCGACGGAGUGGUUUGGCACCUCGAUGUCGGCUCAUCGCAUCCUGGGGCUGAAGUAGGUCCCAAGGGUUGGGCUGUUCGCCCAUUAAAGCGGUACGCGAGCUGGGUUCAGAACGUCGUGAGACAGUUCGGUCCCUAUCCGGCGUGGGCGUAGGAUAUUUGAGAGGAGCUGUCCUUAGUACGAGAGGACCGGGAUGGACUGGCCGCUGGUGUACCUGUUGCAUCGCCAGAUGCAUGGCAGGGUAGCCAAGCCGGGAAGGGAUAAACGCUGAAGGCAUCUAAGCGUGAAGCCCCCCUCAAGAUAAGAUAUCCCAUAACGUCAAGUUAGUAAGACCCCUUGA